This 970-nucleotide ribosomal RNA is filed under the name uncultured bacterium. RNAcentral describes it as "bacterial SSU rRNA". It matches the Rfam family "Bacterial small subunit ribosomal RNA", at positions 8 to 980 of the family's 1533-position model. The record is from RNAcentral.
AGAGUUUGAUCAUGGCUCAGGAUGAACGCUAGCGGCAGGCCUAAUACAUGCAAGUCGAGGGGUAGAGUAGGCUUGCUUACUUGAGACCGGCGCACGGGUGCGUAACGCGUAUGCAACCUACCCUUUUCUGGGGGAUAGCCCGAAGAAAUUCGGAUUAAUACCGCAUAAGACCACGAUUCGGCAUCGUAACGGGGUCAAACAUUUAUGGGAGAAGGAUGGGCAUGCGUGCCAUUAGCUAGUUGGCGGGGUAACGGCCCACCAAGGCGACGAUGGCUAGGGGAUCUGAGAGGAUGGCCCCCCACACUGGUACUGAGACACGGACCAGACUCCUACGGGAGGCAGCAGUAAGGAAUAUUGGUCAAUGGAGGCAACUCUGAACCAGCCAUGCCGCGUGCAGGAAGACGGCCCUCCGGGUUGUAAACUGCUUUUAUACGGGAAUAAACCUAUCUUCGUGAAGAUAGCUGAAUGUACCGUAGGAAUAAGGAUCGGCUAACUCCGUGCCAGCAGCCGCGGUAAUACGGAGGAUCCAAGCGUUAUCCGGAUUUAUUGGGUUUAAAGGGUGCGUAGGCGGCCUGUUAAGUCAGGGGUGAAAGACGGUGGCUCAACCAUCGCAGUGCCCUUGAUACUGAUGGGCUUGAAUGGACUAGAGGUAGGCGGAAUGUGACAAGUAGCGGUGAAAUGCAUAGAUAUGUCACAGAACACCGAUUGCGAAGGCAGCUUACUAUGGUCUUAUUGACGCUGAGGCACGAAAGCGUGGGGAUCGAACAGGAUUAGAUACCCUGGUAGUCCACGCCCUAAACGAUGAACACUCGCUGUUGGCGAUAAACAGUCAGCGGCUAAGCGAAAGCGUUAAGUGUUCCACCUGGGGAGUACGCCCGCAAGGGUGAAACUCAAAGGAAUUGACGGGGGCCCGCACAAGCGGAGGAGCAUGUGGUUUAAUUCGAUGAUACGCGAGGAACCUUACCCGGGC